UCAUACUGGAUUUUGAUCUUCUCAAUCCUUGUACUCUGCUUUCCUGGACUAAUUACUUUUAUCUCCACCCACUUCGGAAGAUUUUCAAUAAGGUCUACCUGAACUUUGACUCUCGCACAGCUUGGGCGUGUCUUAUUAAUUGUUGCCAAGUCCAAUUGCACUGGCUUCCCCACAGCCGAUGCUAAUGAGAACAAAGUUUCUUUGUCAUAAAAGUGGGCAAAAAUUGCGGGAAAGAAAUCCAAGCCAUAGCUUGAGUAGUCUCCUCCUCUGGUUUGAAAUUUGCAUCAUAGAUUAACGGCCGCAUUUGAUACGCAUAUCCAUCUUUAGCAAUAAUGUAAUAAGCAUUUUUUGACAUUAUGCUAAUGAAAUCUUCCAUCUGGCUUAAUCUGAUUAAUAUAUGUAUAUUCCUUAACAGACCAAUAUUACAAUCUCAUUGGAUAUGUAAUUGCUUAGGAAUCUGCACUCUCAGAUCAUCUAGUUCUGGCC
RNAcentral lists this long non-coding RNA (486 nucleotides) under Solanum tuberosum (potato). Its description in RNAcentral is "long non-coding RNA (STUB_LNC009106)". The record is from RNAcentral. Lineage: Eukaryota; Viridiplantae; Streptophyta; Magnoliopsida; Solanales; Solanaceae.